UUCAAACUUAUUUUACGGCCA
Molecule: microRNA, 21 nt
Filed under: Gossypium raimondii (Peruvian cotton)
Lineage: Eukaryota; Viridiplantae; Streptophyta; Magnoliopsida; Malvales; Malvaceae
Description: gra-miR8653b
Source: miRBase by way of RNAcentral